AGAGGAAUUUUUCCCACAAUGGAAGAAAAUUUUGAUGGAACCAAUCCCGCGUGAAGGAAAGAAGGGUUUCGGGUUCGUAAAACUUUGUUGUUAAAAAAGAACCCCUUUGAGAGUAACUGUUCAAGGGUUGACGGUAUUUAACCAGAAAGCCACGGGUUAAUUACGUGCCAGCAGCCGCGGUAAUACGUAGGUGGCAAGCGUUGUCCGGAUUUAUUGGGCGUAAAGCGAGCGCAGGCGGUUUUUUAAGUUUGAUGUGAAAGCCUUCGGCUUAACCGGAGAAGUGCAUCGGAAACUGGGAGACUUGAGUGCAGAAGAGGACAGUGGAACUCCAUGUGUAGCGGUGGAAUGCGUAGAUAUAUGGAAGAACACCAGUGGCGAAGGCGGCUGUCUAGUCUGUAACUGACGCUGAGGCUCGAAAGCAUGGGUAGCGAACAGGAUUAGAUACCCUGGUAGUCCAUGCCGUAAACGAUGAGUGCUAAGUGUUGGAGGGUUUCCGCCCUUCAGUGCUGCAGCUAACGCAUUAAGCACUCCGCCUGGGGAGUACGACCGCAAGGUUGAAACUCAAAGGAAUUGACGGGGGCCCGCACAAGCGGUGGAGCAUGUGGUUUAAUUCGAAGCUACGCGAAGAACCUUACCAGGUCUUGACAUCUUCUGCCAAUCUUAGAGAUAAGACGUUCCCUUCGGGGACAGAAUGACAGGUGGUGCAUGGUUGUCGUCAGCUCGUGUCGUGAGAUGUUGGGUUAAGUCCCGCAACGAGCGCAACCCUUAUUAUCAGUUGCCAGCAUUCAGUUGGGCACUCUGGUGAGACUGCCGGUGACAAACCGGAGGAAGGUGGGGAUGACGUCAAAUCAUCAUGCCCCUUAUGACCUGGGCUACACACGUGCUACAAUGGACGGUACAACGAGUUGCGAAGUCGUGAGGCUAAGCUAAUCUCUUAAAGCCGUUCUCAGUUCGGAUUGUAGGCUGCAACUCGCCUACAUGAAGUUGGAAUCGCUAGUAAUCGCGGAUCAGCAUGCCGCGGUGAAUACGUUCCCGGGCCUUGUACACACCGCCCGUCACACCAUGAGAGUUUGUAACACCCAAAGCCGGUGAGAUAACCUUCGGGAGUCAGCCGUCUAAGGUGACAGAAUUGG
RNAcentral lists this ribosomal RNA (1133 nucleotides) under Levilactobacillus brevis. RNAcentral describes it as "bacterial SSU rRNA". It matches the Rfam family "Bacterial small subunit ribosomal RNA", at positions 355 to 1474 of the family's 1533-position model. Lineage: Bacteria; Bacillati; Bacillota; Bacilli; Lactobacillales; Lactobacillaceae. The record is from RNAcentral.